UGCGGCUUAAUUUGACUCAACACGGGAAACCUCACCCGGCCCGGACACGGACAGGAUUGACAGAUUGAUAGCUCUUUCUCGAUUCCGUGGGUGGUGGUGCAUGGCCGUUCUUAGUUGGUGGAGCGAUUUGUCUGGUUAAUUCCGAUAACGAACGAGACUCUGGCAUGCUAACUAGUUACGCGACCCCCGAGCGGUCGGCGUCCCCCAACUUCUUAGAGGGACAAGUGGCGUUCAGCCACCCGAGAUUGAGCAAUAACAGGUCUGUGAUGCCCUUAGAUGUCCGGGGCUGCACGCGCGCUACACUGACUGGCUCAGCGUGUGCCUACCCUACGCCGGCAGGCGCGGGUAACCCGUUGAACCCCAUUCGUGAUGGGGAUCGGGGAUUGCAAUUAUUCCCCAUGAACGAGGAAUUCCC
RNAcentral lists this ribosomal RNA (415 nucleotides) under Odocoileus virginianus (white-tailed deer). RNAcentral's name for it is "SSU rRNA". It matches the Rfam family "Eukaryotic small subunit ribosomal RNA", at positions 1184 to 1614 of the family's 1831-position model. Lineage: Eukaryota; Metazoa; Chordata; Mammalia; Artiodactyla; Cervidae. The record is from RNAcentral.